UCAGUACAAGUUAUUUCAACUACAUCUGA
RNAcentral lists this non-coding RNA (29 nucleotides) under Bombyx mori (domestic silkworm). The record is from RNAcentral. Lineage: Eukaryota; Metazoa; Arthropoda; Insecta; Lepidoptera; Bombycidae.